This is a non-coding RNA of Pelobates cultripes (western spadefoot toad), 585 nucleotides long. NCBI's taxonomy places the organism in Eukaryota, Metazoa, Chordata, Amphibia, Anura, Pelobatidae. The record is from the annotation of a GenBank genome assembly.
CGAAAAUGGGUAAAACACAAAGAGCAUCGCACACCCCCAAGGGGAACACCCAUCCCUUCAUGCGACAGUUCCUGAUCGCCCAGACGGACCCGGACUCACAGGCCUCUAACAACUCCACGGCCUCAGGCGGGUUGUUCUCGCCAUCCCCACGCGGCAAAGAGACACAGACAGAGGCACCUGGCACCAGCCUCACGACACCGCAAACCGAUUAGACUUAUAUGCUGCACAACCUGCCAACUAAAACGGAUCUGAAAGCAGCAAAUGACGAACUCCGGGCCUCCAUCACUACGGAACUCCAAGCCAUGUGGGAAGAAUUCUGCGGCCUACGCCAGAGGGUGUCCCAACUCGAAGUGGACUGCGACCACAUGGCGUCAGCGCAGUCUGCAAACACGGACACCCUACAACUCAGAUCGCAACAACUCCAGCAAAUGGCAUACCACUUAGAAGACCUCGACAACCGAGGCAGAAGACAUUAGGAUCCGCGGGGUGCCAGAGGAGGUGGAUGACACAACCCCAGUACAGAUUACCCUAACGGGCAUAUUUAACAACAUCCUGGGACACCUCGCACAGAACCCGGUCGACAUG